UUAUCGGACAACUCGGGAGAUAUUUCCUUCAACUGGUAUCAGAGCCAGGUUGGCCGAUGGAAUUGGCCUAUAAUAUCUAAAAUUAUGCAUGAUUUAAUUUUUAAAUUUAGAUUAGAUCUAGAUUUAUUGAUAAAAUAUCAAUCUUGUGCUGAAUUAUAAGGUUGUCCUGCUAUAAGGUUAACCCCUUAUAGUGAAAAGGUUGUCCUAGCACAAAAUUGAGAUUAAUUUGUAUCAUAAAAUAAAUAGUUUAUUUUUGUGAAAUUAUGCAUAAUUGAUGUUUAUGAAAUUUCUGUUUUAAAUUUAUUAUGACUACAAAAUUUAAAUAUAAAUUGUUUAUAUUUGGAAUAAAUUGACACCUUGAAUCCAUGAUCAUAAUGCAUUUAAUAAAGAAUUAAAUGUUGAAUUUAAAAUUUAAAAUUUGAAUUUCAAAUAAAGAUUUAAAAUUCAAAAUUUGAAAUUCGAAUUAAAAUUUAAAUUUGAACAUGGGAUUUGGGGCAUGGGUUAGCACAAUC
This 512-nucleotide long non-coding RNA is filed under the name Phoenix dactylifera (date palm). RNAcentral describes it as "long non-coding RNA (PDAC_LNC003390)". The record is from RNAcentral. Lineage: Eukaryota; Viridiplantae; Streptophyta; Magnoliopsida; Arecales; Arecaceae.